GAUAAUCACUUCAAUGCAAGCUCAAAUGUAAAUAUGUUUUGUUUCAAUACCUCAAAGUGCAUAGCGAUGAUAUUAACCAUAAUUUCAGAAUUGUGUUAAGCAAUCGCUGUUGUUAUUUAGACAACUUUAUAUAGUAUAAUAAUAAACAAAAUAACUUCUUAAAGGGGCCUUUUCACAGAUUUUGGCAUGUAUUGAAGUUUUUCACUAAAUGCUUUAUAUUGAUAAACGUUAACAUUGGAUCUAAAACGCUACAGUAAAAUAAUCAUGAAUACAAUCUAAAAAAAGAAAGAAAAGUAACCCUCAUCAGGGCUCGAACCCCUGACCAAUGGAGUCCUGGAGUAAAAGUCUACCACUUAAACCUCUCGGCCAUCCGUGCUCAUACAUUGAGGAAUGUAUUUUAUUCUUUAUAUAAGCAAUCCUUGUAUUUAAAUAUAAAAUAUAACGACAACAACAGACUCUCCAAAUUAUUCAAUCGUUUCGCGUUGCAACGCUUUAUUAUUUUCAGGUUUUUACAUCGUCAAACGAUGCAUAUAAUGGCUAUUUAAGAGCAUGGUAAAUGUUCAGUAUUGCUGUUUCCUCACAAAUAUCAUAAUUAAAACGAAAGUGUGCGAAUCUGACACAACUUUUUUUUUAUAAUUUUGUCAAUUUACCAAAACGUGAAAAGGCCCCUUCAAUUAAUAAUUCAAUUCUAACGAACAACAUGAAAUUCCAAAAAAAGAUCUUGAUACGCGUUCACAAUUGGAUUUCAACUCAAACAUACUGCUGAUUAACCCGCUUGUUUUAAUUUGAAAUGUUUUCAAUACAUUCUAAAAUACCACUAAGGAGGGUACCAGACGUGACCCAGGGGGACGGCGAUUUAAAAGUUACUUGGUAAUGGAACAACAAUACGGUGGUAUAAACCUUAUAUCAAAUAUCAAACAAAUUAGCCUUGUGCUUCCAAUAGCGAGCUUUUCUCUAUCUAUUGAGCGUAUCGCGAUAAAAUGACACAAAGCUUAUGGAUAAUGGUAAACAUGGCAAAGCGAAACCGGAAUGCAUUGCAACUGUUUUGGAAACGAAUCUUUUCAUUGGUUGAAUUUCCCUGCAGAAUAGAACACGGAAACUAGUGCGAUAUCUCAUUAUUUAUGCAUGCCUACGAAUGUUUGCUAGCUUUAACUGCUUUAUCAGCGUAGCGUAAUUGAGUUAACAUGGGUUCAAACGAUGAGAUUUCUCAUUCAGGAUAUGAGUUUCUUGACGAUUUUUCAAUUGCACUAUACAUAAUUAUCAGGAAAACUGGACCCUUGCAGUUGCCAUUCAAAACAGAACAGAAAUGUUAACCCCUUAAUAUAUUUUGCAGAUCUACAGAAACUAUAUCAAUGUUUUGGGCGCCUUUUUAUGUACUCAUGUGCUUGGACAUCCGAAAAAUAUCGGAAACUAAAAGUGUCUACUACAAAGCUACAGAGCCGGAUCCCCGAGGAUCUUAUUUUCAUGUUGCAACCGAAGCUCAGCUAGUUUACAAAACGAUUUCCGUUCUCUGCAAUAAUGCAGACUAUGAACUACCCUACAACAACAACAUUUUGACCAAAUCAGCUCGGUGAAAAGCAGUUUUGUUUUUUUGUGCCGCUGUCUUCGUUCAAGUUUUUAA
This is a long non-coding RNA of Dreissena polymorpha, 1621 nucleotides long. RefSeq lists it as uncharacterized. The transcript is spliced from 3 exons. Lineage: Eukaryota; Metazoa; Mollusca; Bivalvia; Myida; Dreissenidae. The record is from RefSeq and is a predicted model, not a curated record.